Molecule: ribosomal RNA, 380 nt
Filed under: uncultured eukaryote
Lineage: Eukaryota
Description: partial 18S ribosomal RNA
Rfam family: Eukaryotic small subunit ribosomal RNA
Source: RNAcentral
CAAUAGCGUAUAUUAAAGUUGUUGCGGUUAAAAAGCUCGUAGUUGGAGUUCUGCCAGGUGCCGCCUGUCCGCCCCAGUGGUGAGUACGUGGCGCGCAUUUGGCCCUUUCAAGGGGAGCGUAUCUGCACUUUAUUGUGUGGUGCGGGAUCCUUGACUUUUACUUUGAGGAAAUAGGAGUGUUCCAAGCAGGCUCUCGUCGUGCACAGCUCAGCAUGGAAUAAUAGCAUUGGACCUCGAUUCUAAGCUGUUGGUUGCCAGAAGCGAGGUAAUGAUGAAGAGGGAUAGUUGGGGGCAUUCGUAUUUAACUGUCAGAGGUGAAAUUCUUGGAUUUGUUAAAGCCGGACUACUGCGAAAGCAUCUGCCAUGGAUGUUUUCAUUGA